UGCUGAGAGUGCCCUCUCGAAUGUGAAGAAAAGUUGAGCAUUUUUUUUUAUUUGCAAGUCUGCCUGGCUGUGGAGGAUCAAGGUCGACAUAUAUAGGAAUUAUCCCAACAGUGAGUGGUAAUGUUGUUCCUUUACCCUUCUCGGUCAUAGCAAUGUAGUGGGAGCUGCAAGAUUCACGUGUUUUAACUUUGUCAGAGCACUUUGAAAAAGUGGUCUGUGGUAUUUGGAAAGCUGAUGUUGCGUGUGAAGAUUAUAGACAAGC
Molecule: long non-coding RNA, 262 nt
Filed under: Malus domestica (apple)
Lineage: Eukaryota; Viridiplantae; Streptophyta; Magnoliopsida; Rosales; Rosaceae
Description: long non-coding RNA (MDOM_LNC015117)
Source: RNAcentral